Molecule: ribosomal RNA, 497 nt
Filed under: uncultured bacterium
Lineage: Bacteria
Description: partial 16S ribosomal RNA
Rfam family: Bacterial small subunit ribosomal RNA
Source: RNAcentral
GAUGAACGCUGGCGGCGUGCCUAAUACAUGCAAGUCGAGCGAACAGACGAGGAGCUUGCUCCUCUGACGUUAGCGGCGGACUUGUGAGUAACACGUGGAUAACCUACCUAUAAGACUGGGAUAACUUCGGGAAACCGGAGCUAAUACCUGAUAAUAUAUUGAACCGCAUGGUUCAAUAUUGAAAGACGGUUUUGCUGUCACUUAUAGCUGGAUCCGCGCCGCAUUAGCUAGUUGGUAAGGUAACGGCUUACCAAGUCAACGAUGCGUAGCCGACCUGAGAGGGUGAUCGGCCACACUGGAACUGAGACACGGUCCAGACUCCUACGGGAGGCAGCAGUAGGGAAUCUUCCGAAAUGGGCGAAAGCCUGAAGGAGCAACGCCGCGUGAGUGAUGAAGGUCUUCGGAUCGUAAAACUCUGUUAAUAGGGGAGAACAAAUGUGUAAGUAACUAUGCACGUCUUGACGGUACCUAAGCAGAAAGCCACGGCUAAAUACGUG